Orcinus orca (killer whale) is the source of this 6778-nucleotide long non-coding RNA. RefSeq lists it as uncharacterized. The transcript is spliced from 2 exons. The record is from RefSeq and is a predicted model, not a curated record. NCBI's taxonomy places the organism in Eukaryota, Metazoa, Chordata, Mammalia, Artiodactyla, Delphinidae.
GUGAAAGAUCAUUUUGUAAGGUGAAAAUGGGCCUGCCUUAUUUAUUCUUUAUGCUGUACUUUCCAAACAAGAUACACCUUUAUAUUGUUCAUACAGAUUCAUGUACUCUAGGUAAUGAGUCUUUUAUCAUCUUUCUGUUCUCUGGAGUAGAAUGAAGAAAUACGGAAGAUGUUAGUGGAAACUGUCUAAAAAUGUAUAAAAUUUGUGUCUGUGUAUCUUGUCAGUUUUAUAUUUUGAAUCUCUCUGUGCCGCUCCCUCUGUGCCAGAUGUGGUUUGGAAGGACAAAAAGGACCUUCGUAAUCCCCCAUUUAUAAGAGAAAUUAACCCAACGCCUGCCUGAGCCAGCCAGGAUUCCAUGCGAGUGCUGUGGGCCUCUACUCCUUUAAAACAAAUCCACACUCCUUCAUAGUUUAAACCAGAGGCAGGAGGCCAAGUCUGAUGCACAGCUGAGAGUUAGAACUUGUUUUUCUGUCACAUUUCCAAAUGUUUCUCUCUGCCCUGUUAAAUUUUCUUUGAGUUAACAUUUUGAGAGGAAGGGGCGAGAAGGAAACAUUGGAUGGUUGGUACUUUUUUUGUUGGCUUCAAUUAAUGCUAACCAAACAGUUUCUGCCUGUGCGGAAUGUGGGAUAGUUACCUACAGUGUUGAACAAUGAAAAAUGCUACCUUACCCAUUUUGUCUUUAUUUGUUUUGACUGUAGUAGAACUUGCUCUUCCACUGUUUUGAAUUUUGUGUUCUCAUGGGUGGGGUAACUUCAGGACUUCUUAAACUGCUCAGCUUGUCAGUAAGUAAUAACUAACAAGAAUAGCAGCACCCAUCUAAGAUGCAGAAUUUAGCUGGAGAGCCUUGUAGUGAAAACAUGAUGCUGUCGGGUCUAGAAAGAACUUCAGGUGAAGUUGGGUCUGUGGAGAGAGGAGCUCUGUAUGUCCCAGUUAGCUGGUUAUUAAGAGCUGGAGCCCAAAGUACCUUUGCUGCUGCUGGUGGGGUUCUUUCAGUGUUGGAACUUAGUAUACACACUGUGGAUAGAAUUGAUGUGACAGCAUUUAAAUACUAACUUCCCAUCUGCUCUGCAUGUGCUCCUGAAAAAAGGGGGUCAGGGUUUAAUCUUUCCGUCUAAAGGUGUGGGUGAGUACACACAUAAGCACACGUGUGCAUUUAUGUGGUGUUCAUGCUUUCCCCGCUCCCUGCCUCAGGAAAAUGAAGACAGAAGGAUAUUGUUUUGUAACUUUCCAGUUAACUGGCUUCUUGGAAUAUAUGGUCACUGCCUGUAACCACCUCGUUCCUGGGCUUUGCUUUUUUUUUUAAUAGCCCUGGGAACCUGCAAUUGAACCUACAAGUGACAGAGUGUGAGUGUAUUGUGGAGACCUUCAAGCCCUUUUGCUUUUUAAAUCACCAAAACUGAAAAAUGAUCAAUGAGACUGUGAUUUCCUAAUACCCAUUGGUUUGGGAAACAGCUGUGCUGAACCCUGGCCCUGUGCCCAUCCCCCCCAUCCCCCCCCCCCCCCAAUUAGGAGGGAGAUCCCUAAAAGCAAGACUUGCUAGGGCAGAUUCCUGCCCCUAGAGUUAUUGCCUCUGGCCCUGGCUGUCACCUUUCAGAAUAUUUUUAGCCUCUGGUCUAAAGCACAGUGGCAGCCUCGGCCUGUAAUACUGUCUACACAUAUCUAACUUCGCAUCUAGCAGUGUAGUGAGUUCCUACAUUUGCUGGCCUCCUCAAUGCAAAGUCCGAACACAACAAACAAGAAGUUCCGUUUGGAGUUCUCUGAGUGCCAAGACUGUGAGGACCAGAGGCCUUUCCUCCCCAAACUCAGCUCUGGUCUGUACAAGGAAACUGGCCGAUUUCCCUGUCUCUGAGCCUAUUUCUACUUCCAGCCUUCCUUGUUUUAAGUGUACAGAAAUUGCCCUUUGGAAGUCGACAUUUUUUUUGCCUGUCCCUUUUAUGUGUCAUCCCUGGGCCUGCUUCCCUUUCUCUCUCACAUGCUCUUUCCAGCCACUGAGCUUAAUGCUUCUCCCCUGGACCACCCUAGCAGCCUCAACUGUGGGUGUCCUUUCCCUCUGGUUUGGUUUCUUCUUUCUCCAUCUGCUGCCAAGAACCCCUCCAGCAGCCAAGGCAGCCCUUGUUCCUGCAUGUAUUACCUAGGGCAACACUGAAGAAUAAAUAAGUCUGAUCCAUUCCGUUUCUCUGGAAUCCUGUACAUGUUUCUAGAACAGAGCUCUGUGGAAAGAGACUCAUGAGCAUAGAGAAACCUAUUUUGAUAUCCUUAGAAGGUAGGAGAUUUUUAUAGUCUCAUUCAGGACUUAAAAGAAGUCUAGAGUAAGAUUUUUAACCUGCCACCCUCCUCUUAAACACAUGUACUACUGUCUUCCUGUUAGUAUCUUGUCCUACUCCAAUGAAAUUACUUAAGAAACUAUACUCUUAUAGAUCUUAAGUUCAGAUUUCCUAUAGGUAGAUAGCUGAUAUGUAGGCUGAGUCGGAAUGGUAAAAUUACAUUCGGUUCAUCGAGUUCACACCUUCCUGACAGAUUUUUUUUUCUUAGUUUUUCAGGAAAAUUAUCAAUGACAUCAGUUAUUAACCAAUGCAACAUUUUUUCCUUAAGUAUGGUACAUACACUCUCCUAGGUUUUGUAUGAAACUGUUCAAACAGAAAGUUAUUCUAGAUGAAUAUGCUUUUGUUUCCUGCUCCACAAAAGGGAGAGAGAUCCAGAGUUCUCCCCAGUCCAGCCGAGAUACUUCCUUAUGGUGCUUCAGAGCUUCCUAGGCUCAGACUCCUCAACAUUUAUAAAAACUGACCCUCUGAAGUUAAGAUUAUGUGUUUUAGAGCUGGAGAUAGAGCACGUGUGUUUAUUUCUUUGAAGCAUGUGCCCUUUUUGGAAUGGUUUCUUGUUUUGCUCAGCCUUGAGGACUGAGUGUAGAGGCUGUACUCCACUGAUCUGGUAAGAGCAAAGGGGCCAUGGGCACAGCGUUCUCUUAUUCUCCCACAGUCGCCUGUUUUUUCAACCUAUAAUUGCACCCAGAGGAUCUGAGGAAGUAGACUUAUCAGCUAAUUAUAUGAAAUAAAAUUAAUUUUAGCUUCCUUAACACAAGCAGAAUCUUAAUUAGGUACAUAUCAAAAUUGUUUCUGUAUGUUCCAGGCUGAUUUCUGUGACUUUCAGUUUGGUUUGCGGGCCCAUCUUAAUCCAAGAGAUGGAGUCCCUUGAUCUUAAAGUCGAGUUCUGCUAUUAGAGAAAUCGAGUAAGGUCCUGCACUUGCAGUGCCAGAUGGCCUGAUUAAACACCAAUAAAUGUUUCUUCCAAAAUACAAUAAGCACAAAUAGUUAAGUGCACAGCCUGUGGGGAAUUCUACUGUUUGAAAACUUCUGUGCAGCACUUUGCAAGGCUGUCGAGCCUGGGGAAGCUCUGUCUGUGCAUUGCCAAGGCAAUGCCUGGUUCUCUGGGCUACGUCGUUUUCAGUUAAUUUUUUUUUUUACUUUCCUGGUGGAAAGGAGAGGCAGCUGCCUCUAAAUAUUGGUAUUUCACAGCAAACCUUAAAUCCUUAUGGCCUUACUCGUGUGGAAAGGUUGAUUUGUAGCUGCUCUCUUGCUCUUCCUAAGAGACCCGUUGGGUGGUAAAGAUCUCAGGGAAUGAAACAUUAAAAAUGAAUGAGGGGACUGGAGUAGUUUGUCUGAGGUGAGGGUUGGGAGGGGCUGGGCGGGGGAGGUUUAACAAAAGGCACUGGCGUUUUAAAUGCACAGAAAUGCCAUCCAUCAAUAAUAAAUGGUGUGGCAUAGAACAGAUGUGCCAAAUUGAGUUAUUACAGCAUAUGGAUCAGUUCAUAGAGGGGGGAAAGUAAGCAGCAUAGCUGGUGUUUUUAAAUUAUCUGUUUGAGAGCUUUAGAAUACAUUUUUGAAUGUCCUGUUUUUACCCUCUGACAGCUGCUAGUUGGAAAUAGAAAACGUGUGGAAUUACCAAACAUGCCAAUUAAAUUUUGAGUGUUUUUAAAGUAAGAAUUAUUGAGAGUGAAUAAAUUUUUUUUUUUUUUUUUCUGAAGAGGGAGACAGAAUCUGGAAAUGAAUUUCUGGCCCUUCAUGGCUGAGUGCCUGCUUUUUAAGACCUCGAGUUGUAAUUAAUUGUAUGAGGAAUGAAAUUACAUUACAAAACUUAAGUCAUGUGAAACUGUUACCUAGUGUUUUCUACUACAUUGAUUAUAUCUCUAGGUAUCUCUUCAGUACUUACUUAAACUACAGAGGACCACUCAGGAAACUUCUCUCAGGCUUUGAGGUUGCUUCAUUACCCUCAGCAUCUUGAUUCAAGGGCUAAUUCUAUACAUAUGCUCCGAGCGAAUUAUUUCACCUAAAGGAGGAACAACAAGAGAAAUACCAGCUUCGUUGUCUCAUAGAGAAAAUCACUCCUAGGAAAUUGGACAGACAGAAAUCCAUUAGGUAAACUGGAAUAUUUUGUAAGUGUAGAUAGUAUGCAGCGGUCAAGCUUUAAGUUUUACUUGAUCUUCUAGAAGUAAUGGGAGUUACUGUCAGUGUCACAGGCAUAGCAGAGGACAAUAACGUGAGAGUGUUUGAAAUGACUCCCGAGUUGGAAUUGGUGGACUUGGUGAGAGCUGGAACUAUUCCACUCAUCUUAAUAUUGACCCUUGCUUGCCUUUUUAGAAACUUGUUUGGAAUUGGAUCUCUCUGGUGUGUUGUCGCAACAAAACUAAUUCCUCUGUGUUUUUCCUAAGGUGAACUAAAAAGUACUUAAUUCUUGCAGAUAACGCCAAGUUGGUUUAAAUUUGAGGUUUGUUAGACUGGAAGGACAAAUGGCCUAGCUGUUUUAGAAGAGUUCAUUUACUCUUUGAGUGUGGAUGUUCUAGUUGAAAAUGAGGAGAGUGGCUGUAUGAAAAGUCUAUUACUCUUAUUGUAGCCGUCUGUAUUAACUUUCAACUCUUCAGGUGCAGAAUUUACUUGAAUAAAUCUUUUUCACCUCCAAGGGAUCCCAGCUUACCUUAAAAAAGCACUUGUCAAACUGUCUUUAGAGCCACCAAAUAAAUCUAUUUUAUAGUCCCAUUAGAUAUCUAGCUCAAAAUCCCACUCGCUCUGGAAGGUCGUAUGGUUGGAUGCACAACAAAUUUCCUGAAAUCAUCUCUGGUACACCUCCUUCAGGUUGUUAGGAAGGUGUUGAAAUGUGAGAAGGCUGGUCAUGAAAUUAAAUUGUGGCUCAGGGUAAUUAGGAAGGGAGAAAACCAAGCAUUUUCUUAGUGCAUUGUCUGGGUUUUAGUUGCAGCUGCAAACAACGGAUAUGAAUUUAACCAGUUGCUACAGUGCAGCUGGUUCAGAUGUGGCUUUAUAACUGGCUGAAGUGAAAUGAACAGGCUGGAAAAUUCCAGUUAGGUAACACUGGUGGUAACACGUGGAAUUAAAUAGUGUGAGCAAAUGCUGGCCGAGCUGGGGAAAAAGCCCUUCGGACAUAAACUUGAGGGUGGUGGUGAGGACUUGUAGAGAGCGGGGUGGGGAGGGGCCAGCAUGGCCUUUUAAACAAGGGUCUAUUGUUUUGAUUAGCCCCCUUGCAGGAGGUGGAAGUUUCCCUCCAUCCAGAGUAAUCUGUAGAGUGUUUGGCUUGUCUACCUCCCUCCUUGACUGAAGUCACCUGAUACUUCUUUUUUUCUUCAAGAAGAAAGAAUAAUUGGGAUUGACACAUACACUCUGUUGAUGCUAUGUAUAAAAUAGAAAACUGAUGGGAGCAUACUGUACAGCACAGGGAACUCUACUUAAUGCACUGUGGUGACCUAAAUGGGCGGGAAGUCCAAAAGGAGAGGGAUAGGUGUGUAUGUAUGGCUGAUUCGUUUUGCUGUGCAGUAGAAGCUAACACAACAUUGUAAAGUAACUCUACUCCAGUAAAGAUUAAUUUAAAAUAAAAUAGUUCUCUGAAAAAAAAAAAAGAAGAAGAAGAAGCUGUUACCUCAGUUAUUGACAAUAACUCAGAUCUCAAAGCAUAGUCUUUUUUCCCCCUUGGGGACCGUUUUCCCACCUGUGUGACCCAGAAGGCCCUGUCUCUUCCUCGUCAUCUUCCUUCCAUCCCCUGCGGCAGAGAUGUUGAGGAUGUUGGAGACAAGGUGCUCAAGGUUCAUUUUUUUUUAAUAAUUGUUCUAAUUAAGGAAAUAAAAUCAGUUCACUCAAGGGAAGCUUUUGUAUUAUCAGUAGUUUUUUCUCCAUGAAUUGUCUGCCUAACUUGGCGGGUUGAGAGUUGACUGGGGAACAGAUUUCUGAGAAGUCGAAGGGCCAUCGUGCUAUUUGGGGAAAACAUUUGCUGUAACUAGGUUUAGGGUAUUUAGUCUGCCAGUGCUUGGGAGCUGCAUUUGCUAAGUGAGUUUGCUGUCACAGCGAUUAGUCAGUCAUGUGAAACAUUUGAUUAAGGGACUUAAGAGAAAUCUUUCCUGAGGCACAUGAUUGGUAGCUGUUGCUGGGAUGGCCCCCUCCUCAGCUUUCCAUUUCCUCCCUCAGUGUUUAUAAGUAAGUUUGUAGUGAUGAGUCAUGGGAUAUGGUUUUAGCGUCCAAGGGAGAAACUUUUUAGAAAUUGAAGUUCUGGUACGGGGCUUCCCUGGUGGCGCAGUGGUUGAGAGUCCGCCUGCCGAUGCAGGGGAUGCGGGUUCGUGCCCCGGUCCAGGAAGAUCCCACCUGCCGCGGAGCGGCUAGGCCCAUGAGCCAUGGCCGCUGAGCCUGUGCAUCCGGAGCCUGUGCUCCACAACGGGAGAGGCCACAACAGUGAGAGGCCCGCGUACCGCAAAAAAAAAAAAAAAAAAAAAAAAAAAUUUCUG